GAUGAACGCUGGCGGCGUGCUUAACACAUGCAAGUCGAGCGAAGCACUUACCAUUGACUCUUCGGAAGAUUUGGUAAAUGACUGAGCGGCGGACGGGUGAGUAACGCGUGGGUAACCUGCCUCAUACAGGGGAAUAACAGUUAGAAAUGGCUGCUAAUGCCGCAUAAGCGCACAGUACCGCAUGGUACGGUGUGAAAAACCGAGGUGGUAUGAGAUGGACCCGCGUCUGAUUAGGUAGUUGGUGGGGUAACGGCCUACCAAGCCGACGAUCAGUAGCCGGCCUGAGAGGGUGAACGGCCACAUUGGGACUGAGACACGGCCCAGACUCCUACGGGAGGCAGCAGUGGGGAAUAUUGCACAAUGGGGGAAACCCUGAUGCAGCGACGCCGCGUGAAGGAAGAAGUAUCUCGG
RNAcentral lists this ribosomal RNA (411 nucleotides) under uncultured bacterium. RNAcentral's name for it is "bacterial SSU rRNA". It matches the Rfam family "Bacterial small subunit ribosomal RNA", at positions 28 to 421 of the family's 1533-position model. The record is from RNAcentral.